Chelonia mydas (Green sea turtle) is the source of this 286-nucleotide long non-coding RNA. RefSeq lists it as uncharacterized. The transcript has 4 exons. NCBI's taxonomy places the organism in Eukaryota, Metazoa, Chordata, Testudines, Cheloniidae. The record is from RefSeq and is a predicted model, not a curated record.
GCAUAAGCUUUCGUGGGCUACAGCCCACUGCAUCAGAUGCAUAGAAUGGAGCAUAUAGUAGGAGGAUAUAUAUACAUACAGAAAAUAUGAAAAGGUGGAAGUUGCCAGACCAACUCUAAGAAGCUAAUUACUUAAGAUGAGCUAUUAUCAGCAGGAGAAAACAAACUUUUGUAGUGAUAAUCAAGAUGGCCCAUUUCAGACAGUUGACAAGAGGUGUGAGGAUGCUUAACAUGGGGAAAUAGAUUAAAUGAGUGUAAUGACCCAGCCACUCCCAGUCUUUAUUCAG